This 295-nucleotide unclassified non-coding RNA is filed under the name fungal sp. RNAcentral's name for it is "partial contains 5.8S ribosomal RNA, internal transcribed spacer 2, and large subunit ribosomal RNA". The stretch from base 1 to 71 matches the Rfam family "5.8S ribosomal RNA", at positions 84 to 154 of the family's 154-position model. The record is from RNAcentral. Lineage: Eukaryota; Fungi.
GUGAGUCAUCGAAUCUUUGAACGCACAUUGCGCCCUUUGGUAUUCCUUAGGGCAUGCCUGUUCGAGCGUCAUUGAAACCCUCAAGCUAUGCUUGGUGUUGGGCGCCUUGUCCCCGCCUCUGCGCGCGGACUCGCCUGGAAAACAUUGGCGGUUGUUGGUAUCGACCGGAAGCGCAGCAGAGACGCGCCCUUCUCGGUGUGAGCACCCCUCCCCCCACGAAGCCGACCUUUUAUCAUCUUGACCUCGGAUCAGGUAGGGAUACCCGCUGAACUUAAGCAUAUCAAUAAGCGGAGGA